CCCCGAGCACAGCCUGCACAGCAUCCUACUGCUGAUCCCCGGGGCUUCCUGCGUCCUGGCGCUUCCUGUCCUUUCCCCAAGCCCAGGCAUCUGGGACUUUAAAAAGUCAGAAAGCAACUGGAAAGGAAGGCAUGUGUCUAGCUUGCUCUAUAUCUGCCUUGCAUUGGGAGGCCUUCAGUGGGAAUGUUUUUCUGGAAGCAGUCAGCAAAUGUGAAACACCAUGAAGCCAGGCGAUUGGAGAGGUCUGGUGUGGCAGAUGUGGAUAGCUGGACCCUCCUGGGUGCCUCUGCGUUAUGUCGUUUGGUUGAUGCAUUUGGAGAGAAUCUGUGCUCUCCACAACUGCAGGGGCAACAUGCUUUCCUGGCCUCUUCAGAUCAGGGUGGCUGUUCUUGGGUGCUGCACCAAAACUCCAGCAGUGGGCUUUCUUCAAGUGGCCGGCUCACCUCAUUCCUGCCAAGACCCAGGUCCGUGUUCUCACAGUGCUGCCAUCUUUCCUCCGUGUGAGCGUGGGCUGUGCGGAGAGUGGACCUCGGUGUGUGCGGGGCUGCGUGCACUGCCAUCGCUCCCUCUACACGAGCCGGCGUGGACCCAGGGCUGAGCUGUGACCACGAGGGCCAUCCCGACGAGCCGCCAUGGACCCAGGGCUGAGCUGUGACCAUGAGGGCUAUCCCGACGAGCUGCCGUGGACCCAGGGCUGAGCCGUGACCAUGAGGGCCAUCCCGAAACUGUGAUUGUUUUCUGAUGAAGAAACCAAGGCUUUGUGACUAACUCAACCCCUCAAGAAGGACAAAACUAGCAUCAGAGCCCCUUGCUCCUGGGUCUGGCAAGAAUGCCUCUUGUUUGCUGAGAGGUCCACAGAUUUACCCGGCUCAAGACUGGGAGAUGGGAGGUGACCAGGUGCAAUCGCCUCAUUUAGAUAUUGGGACCCAGAAAUAGAAGACAAUUUACAAUAUAGCUUCCUUUAGGGAUCUGGAUGCUACCAAACAAACAAACAAACAAAAAAAGCCCUCCUGUGAGAUGCCGAGACUUAAUAGAAACCGUGGUUGGAGCUCUUGCCUUUUUCCAGGCCGGUGGAGACCCUCACCCCUGGCAGCCUGACCGUGAAGCAGAGGAGGCAAGAGCUCCGGGAGACAGUCGGGAGGGAGGGGGCCCUGGAGGACAGGCUCCUAGCCCUACUCCUCCUCAAGACCCGGGUGCUGGCCUGUCCCCUGCCUUUGCCCCGAUGGGGAUGAGGGAGAGGAGAUGGGUCAGGGAACAGCUAUGGCCAUUGGGGAAGGUGACUUGGAUGCAACCUUUGAAAGAGAUGCUUCCAGUAAACCCCAUCGGUUAAGAUCAGCUGUCCCCCAUGAUCCUUUGUGUGUGUUUUUUUGUUUUCACACAGGGUCUCGGUCUGUCGCCCAGGCUGAGUGCAGUGGUGUGAUCUUGGCUCACUGCAACCUCCACCUCCUGGGCACAAGCAAUCCUCCUGCCUCAGCCUCCUGGAUAGCUCAGACUACAGGGGUGUGCCACCAUACCCAGCUCAUUCUUUUGUAUUUUUAGUAGAGACAGAGUUUUGCCAUGUUGCCCAGGCUGGUCUCAAACUCCUGGGCUCAAGUGAUCCACCCGCCUUGGCCUCCCACAGGGCUGGGAUUACAGGAGUGAACUCCCAUGCCUGGCCCUCAUGAUCCUUUGUAGACUGAGGGACAAAAGAAGAGGGUGAGGCCUCCCCUCUCCUCAGCGCUGAGUGCAAGGACCCUCAAGGCAACUCUUGGCAAAGCCCCAUGUUUCCACUGGCUGUUUAGGUGGAAUUGCGUCCCCCCGCUUCCGUAUGUUGAAGUCCUAAUUUUCGGGCCCUCCGCUUGUGACCAUAUUUGGAAGUAGAGGCUUUGCAGAUGUCAUGAGUUAAGAUGGGGGCCUCCUGGAGCAGGGCAACAUGACUGUAUCCUCAUAAGAAGAGGAGAGACAGAAACAGACACACACAGGGAGAUGCCACGGGACUCCCAAAGCCACAAGAAAGCCUGGAACAGCCCCGCCCUCACAGCCUCUGAAGGAACCAGCCCUGCCUUCACCUGGAUCUGGGACUUCC
Long non-coding RNA from Homo sapiens (human), 2065 nucleotides. Ensembl annotates it as SNAI3 antisense RNA 1. Its record names the gene SNAI3-AS1. NCBI's taxonomy places the organism in Eukaryota, Metazoa, Chordata, Mammalia, Primates, Hominidae. The record is from Ensembl.